Molecule: non-coding RNA, 47 nt
Filed under: Trichobilharzia regenti
Lineage: Eukaryota; Metazoa; Platyhelminthes; Trematoda; Strigeidida; Schistosomatidae
Source: RNAcentral
AUUCACAGAUGACGAGUCCUAAAUAGGACGAAACACGCAUCCUGGAU